Molecule: long non-coding RNA, 795 nt
Organism: Arabidopsis lyrata subsp. lyrata
Lineage: Eukaryota; Viridiplantae; Streptophyta; Magnoliopsida; Brassicales; Brassicaceae
Exons: 2
Source: RefSeq, a predicted model, not a curated record
CAGAAGAAGAAAAAAAUCUCUCCCGUGUUUAUCUCUCAUUGUUUCUCUCUCUCUCUCGACUGCGUUAACACGAAAUCAGAUAGAAUUUUCGCAAAUCGAUUUCUCCUCCGAUUAUUGUUACAUCCGGUGAAUCGGAGAGAGUUAUCACAAGCAUCUCAACGGACGGCGGCUCACCACGGCGCAUGUGGGUCAUAUAAUCGGCGAUUUAGGGUUUGAAAUCGAAGAGUCUUUUCACCGAAUCUCCGAUUGAGUUCAUCAAAUCUGACAAAAUCCGUACAAGGGUAUAUCCCAUUACGGAGGAGAUGAAGCAAACAACCACACAGCUCUUCCAUGCCCUGGUGAGUUACUAGUUGAGCAGCAUCACAGCAACUAUGGUGAACCUUAGGCAGGUGGGCGCGAUGUAUUCGAGUUCUUGGCUGAAUCAUCCAAUCUUAAACCAAACUCUCGUGUUCUAGAAAUUGGAUGUGGCACGUUACGUGUGGGUUUGCAUUUCAUCAUUUUCACUGCCUUUGAGUUUUAAGGAAUGGUUUGUGGUUAUUCUUGUUUCCUUGUGAUUCUAAUCGAUGAAGCUCUCAAGUUCAUUGGGAGAUGCAGAAGGACAAGAAUCAAGAAGAAGAUCAAAACAAUGUAAAAGUCUGAUCAACACAACAGACAGUUAACUCUUUUUUCUUACAAUCUUUUGUUUCAUUAAGAAAUCUUAACCAAAGAGACAGUAGUAGCAACUAAACCUGUUGUUUUUUUAAUUCUUUGUGGAAGCAAAAUCAAACUUUACAAUCAAACAAACAAUUUAUUACA